UGGGGAAUAUUGGACAAUGGGCGAAAGCCUGAUCCAGCCAUGCCGCGUGUGUGAAGAAGGUCUUCGGAUUGUAAAGCACUUUAAGUUGGGAGGAAGGGCAUUAACCUAAUACGUUAGUGUUUUGACGUUACCGACAGAAUAAGCACCGGCUAACUCUGUGCCAGCAGCCGCGGUAAUACAGAGGGUGCAAGCGUUAAUCGGAAUUACUGGGCGUAAAGCGCGCGUAGGUGGUUUGUUAAGUUGGAUGUGAAAUCCCCGGGCUCAACCUGGGAACUGCAUUCAAAACUGAAUGACUAGAGUAUGGUAGAGGGUGGUGGAAUUUCCUGUGUAGCGGUGAAAUGCGUAGAUAUAGGAAGGAACACCAGUGGCGAAGGCGACCACCUGGACUAAUACUGACACUGAGGUGCGAAAGCGUGGGGAGCAAACA
Molecule: ribosomal RNA, 427 nt
Filed under: uncultured bacterium
Lineage: Bacteria
Description: partial 16S ribosomal RNA
Rfam family: Bacterial small subunit ribosomal RNA
Source: RNAcentral